GGGGAUUUAGCUCAGCAGUAGAGCACUUGCCUAGUGAGCACAAGGCCUGGGUUCAAUUCUCAGCUCCA
Molecule: transfer RNA, 68 nt
Filed under: Mesocricetus auratus (golden hamster)
Lineage: Eukaryota; Metazoa; Chordata; Mammalia; Rodentia; Cricetidae
Rfam family: tRNA
About the family: Transfer RNA (tRNA) molecules are approximately 80 nucleotides in length.
Source: Rfam by way of RNAcentral